UGCUGUGAACUCGAAGAGUAGGGCGGGACACGUGGUAUCCUGUCUGAAUAUGGGGGGACCAUCCUCCAAGGCUAAAUACUCCUGACUGACCGAUAGUGAACCAGUACCGUGAGGGAAAGGCGAAAAGAACCCCGGCGAGGGGAGUGAAAAAGAACCUGAAACCGUGUACGUACAAGCAGUGGGAGCCUCUUUAUGGGGUGACUGCGUACCUUUUGUAUAAUGGGUCAGCGACUUAUAUUCUGUAGCAAGGUUAACCGUAUAGGGGAGCCGAAGGGAAACCGAGUCUUAACUGGGCGUUAAGUUGCAGGGUAUAGACCCGAAACCCGGUGAUCUAGCCAUGGGCAGGUUGAAGGUUGGGUAACACUAACUGGAGGACCGAACCGACUAAUGUUGAAAAAUUAGCGGAUGACCUGUGGCUGGGGGUGAAAGGCCAAUCAAACCGGGAGAUAGCUGGUUCUCCCCGAAAGCUAUUUAGGUAGCGCCUCGUGAACUCAUCUUCGGGGGUAGAGCACUGUUUCGGCUAGGGGGCCAUCCCGGCUUACCAACCCGAUGCAAACUACGAAUACCGAAGAAUGUUAUCACGGGAGACACACGGCGGGUGCUAACGUCCGUCGUGAAGAGGGAAACAACCCAGACCGCCAGCUAAGGUCCCAAAGUCAUGGUUAAGUGGGAAACGAUGUGGGAAGGCACAGACAGCCAGGAUGUUGGCUUAGAAGCAGCCAUCAUUUAAAGAAAGCGUAAUAGCUCACUGGUCGAGUCGGCCUGCGCGGAAGAUGUAACGGGGCUAAACCAUGCACCGAAGCUGCGGCAGCGACACUAUGUGUUGUUGGGUAGGGGAGCGUUCUGUAAGCCGUUGAAGGUGUGCUGUGAGGCAUGCUGGAGGUAUCAGAAGUGCGAAUGCUGACAUAAGUAACGAUAAAGCGGGUGAAAAGCCCGCUCGCCGGAAGACCAAGGGUUCCUGUCCAACGUUAAUCGGGGCAGGGUGAGUCGACCCCUAAGGCGAGGCCGAAAGGCGUAGUCGAUGGGAAACAGGUUAAUAUUCCUGUACUUGGUGUUACUGCGAAGGGGGGACGGAGAAGGCUAUGUCAGCCGGGCGACGGUUGUCCCGGUUUAAGCAUGUAGGCGGAGGUUCCAGGUAAAUCCGGUACCUUAUUAACGCUGAGGUGUGAUGACGAGGCACUACGGUGCUGAAGUGAUAAAUGCCCUGCUUCCAGGAAAAGCCUCUAAGCAUCAGGUAACACGAAAUCGUACCCCAAACCGACACAGGUGGUCAGGUAGAGAAUACCAAGGCGCUUGAGAGAACUCGGGUGAAGGAACUAGGCAAAAUGGUGCCGUAACUUCGGGAGAAGGCACGCUGAUGUGUAGGUGAAGCCCCUGCGGGUGGAGCUGAAAUCAGUCGAAGAUACCAGCUGGCUGCAACUGUUUAUUAAAAACACAGCACUGUGCAAACACGAAAGUGGACGUAUACGGUGUGACGCCUGCCCGGUGCCGGAAGGUUAAUUGAUGGGGUUAGCGGCAACGCGAAGCUCUUGAUCGAAGCCCCGGUAAACGGCGGCCGUAACUAUAACGGUCCUAAGGUAGCGAAAUUCCUUGUCGGGUAAGUUCCGACCUGCACGAAUGGCGUAAUGAUGGCCAGGCUGUCUCCACCCGAGACUCAGUGAAAUUGAACUCGCUGUGAAGAUGCAGUGUACCCGCGGCAAGACGGAAAGACCCCGUGAACCUUUACUAUAGCUUGACACUGAACACUGGUCCUUGAUGUGUAGGAUAGGUGGGAGGCUUUGAAGCGUGGACGCCAGUCUGCGUGGAGCCAACCUUGAAAUACCACCCUUUAAUGGCUGGUGUUCUAACGUAGACCCGUAAUCCGGGUUGCGGACAGUGUCUGGUGGGUAGUUUGACUGGGGCGGUCUCCUCCCAAAGAGUAACGGAGGAGCACGAAGGUUGGCUAAUCCUGGUCGGACAUCAGGAGGUUAGUGCAAUGGCAUAAGCCAGCUUGACUGCGAGCGUGACGGCGCGAGCAGGUGCGAAAGCAGGUCAUAGUGAUCCGGUGGUUCUGAAUGGAAGGGCCAUCGCUCAACGGAUAAAAGGUACUCCGGGGAUAACAGGCUGAUACCGCCCAAGAGUUCAUAUCGACGGCGGUGUUUGGCACCUCGAUGUCGGCUCAUCACAUCCUGGGGCUGAAGUAGGUCCCAAGGGUAUGGCUGUUCGCCAUUUAAAGUGGUACGCGAGCUGGGUUUAGAACGUCGUGAGACAGUUCGGUCCCUAUCUGCCGUGGGCGCUGGAGAAUUGAGGGGGGCUGCUCCUAGUACGAGAGGACCGGAGUGGACGCAUCACUGGUGUUCGGGUUGUCAUGCCAAUGGCACUGCCCGGUAGCUAAAUGCGGAAGAGAUAAGUGCUGAAAGCAUCUAAGCACGAAACUUGCCCCGAGAUGAGUUCUCCCUGAGACUUUAAGUCUCCUGAAGGAACGUU
RNAcentral lists this ribosomal RNA (2466 nucleotides) under Enterobacter hormaechei subsp. steigerwaltii. RNAcentral's name for it is "partial 23S ribosomal RNA". It matches the Rfam family "Bacterial large subunit ribosomal RNA", at positions 395 to 2839 of the family's 2925-position model. The record is from RNAcentral. Lineage: Bacteria; Pseudomonadati; Pseudomonadota; Gammaproteobacteria; Enterobacterales; Enterobacteriaceae.